AGUACUUUGCUUUUCGUACCAUUGUCUCUGUUUUUCCUAGGUGCUUUAUGUUGAAGGUAUUGUGGGCGUUAACUUGCAGGGUAAGGGUACAGAAGAGAGAGAGGGAAGGGUUGGGAGGUAGGAGAUUAUGUCACGUACAUAUUUUGGCCUUUUCUUUAGUGGUGUGAUAGUUGUACCUCUAUAAAGAUGCGUUAAUAAGUUUUAAAACAGAACUUUUAAAGUAUGUCAGAUUG
Pelobates cultripes (western spadefoot toad) is the source of this 233-nucleotide non-coding RNA. NCBI's taxonomy places the organism in Eukaryota, Metazoa, Chordata, Amphibia, Anura, Pelobatidae. The record is from the annotation of a GenBank genome assembly.